RNAcentral lists this unclassified non-coding RNA (337 nucleotides) under soil metagenome. RNAcentral describes it as "partial contains 5.8S ribosomal RNA, internal transcribed spacer 2, and large subunit ribosomal RNA". The stretch from base 1 to 120 matches the Rfam family "5.8S ribosomal RNA", at positions 35 to 154 of the family's 154-position model. The record is from RNAcentral.
GAUGAAGAACGCAGCGAAAUGCGAUAAGUAAUGUGAAUUGCAGAAUUCAGUGAAUCAUCGAAUCUUUGAACGCACAUUGCGCCCCUUGGUAUUCCGGGGGGCAUGCCUGUUCGAGCGUCAUUUCAACCCUCAAGCUCUGCUUGGUAUUGGGCACCGUCCUUUGAGGGCGCGCCUCAAAGACCUCGGCGGUGGCGUCUUGCCUCAAGCGUAGUAGAAUACACCUCGCUUCGGAGCGUAAGGCGUCGCCCGCCGGACGAACCUUCUGAACUUUUCUCAAGGUUGACCUCGGAUCAGGUAGGGAUACCCGCUGAACUUAAGCAUAUCAAUAAGCGGAGGA